This 500-nucleotide ribosomal RNA is filed under the name uncultured bacterium. Its description in RNAcentral is "partial 16S ribosomal RNA". It matches the Rfam family "Bacterial small subunit ribosomal RNA", at positions 29 to 523 of the family's 1533-position model. The record is from RNAcentral.
AUUGAACGCUGGCGGCAUGCUUUACACAUGCAAGUCGAACGGCAGCACGGGCUUCGGCCUGGUGGCGAGUGGCGAACGGGUGAGUGAUACAUCGGAACGUACCCAGUAGUGGGGGAUAGCCCGGCGAAAGCCGGAUUAAUACCGCAUAUGCCCUGAGGGGGAAAGCGGGGGACCGAAAGGCCUCGCGCUAUUGGAGCGGCCGAUGGCUGAUUAGCUAGUUGGUGGGGUAAAGGCCUACCAAGGCGACGAUCAGUAGCUGGUCUGAGAGGACGACCAGCCACACUGGGACUGAGACACGGCCCAGACUCCUACGGGAGGCAGCAGUGGGGAAUUUUGGACAAUGGGCGAAAGCCUGAUCCAGCAAUGCCGCGUGUGCGAAGAAGGCCUUCGGGUUGUAAAGCACUUUUGUUUGGAAAGAAAAGGUUUGGGUUAAUACCCUGGACUGAUGACGGUACCAAUCGAAUAAGCACCGGCUAACUACGUGCCAGCCGCCGCCGUAA